Molecule: long non-coding RNA, 3153 nt
Organism: Tachysurus vachellii
Lineage: Eukaryota; Metazoa; Chordata; Actinopteri; Siluriformes; Bagridae
Exons: 5
Source: RefSeq, a predicted model, not a curated record
CAGACUGAGAUGAAAGGUUUUCUGGGGGGUUUUUUUUGGUUACGUUUUAUCUACCUGGCAGAGGCAAGCAGGAUUUCAUCAAUCUUCACAAAACAGUUCCAUCAAACAGCUUUAGAGUCAUUUGGACAGACCUGAGGAUAUUUCUGAAGCUCCACUGAAGACCCGCGUGCUAGCCGACGUUCACUCCGAGGCCGACCUGCAGCUUGUCUCCUCUGUGAUUGACGAAGGCCCCCAUGAUGAGCGUUGCUGGAAGAGGACACAAGCGCUUCUCCAGAACACCUCCUAUGAUACACCGACUAUCCAGCAUACCUAAGGGGAGAUUUUUCCUAAAGUUAUUUUUAAACCUUCUCACAAAGAAAUGUUCAUCACUUCCUGAUUAGAGUUCAAAGAUGAAAGAUGUUGGAGAUUCUUACCUCUGAAAACCAUGUUGGCCUCUGGUAAAUUCAUUUGAUAGCCAAAAGAGAACUUGGUCUCCUGGGUCCUAGUGCUGGCCUCAAACUCCACUCCCACCUGGAUCUGGAAAAAAAUAACUACAACUUAAUCCUGUGCAGCUAGCCUUAAGCUAAUUUAUACACUAUCGACAAAAUAUAACUAUACAAAUAUGCUGCUGGUAUAUGGCCACUGAAAAGCCAAAAGAUUGUGGACACCUGACAGUCACAGUUUUAGACCCUCCUUUUCUGUAAGCGCCACUUUUCUCUUCUCUGAAAGCUUUCCACUAGAUGUUAGAUUGCAGGCCUUUUUACACCUGGUCACUUCAUGUGUUUUCUCUGAUCCGAUAGCUAUCUGAUUUGUUAAAACUGUUCCAUUUACAUUAGGCCACAUAAACGCGUCUUGGCGAAUCGGAUAUCGAUCCGAUCUUUCUACUCCCGCCCAAAAUGCAAAUAUAUUUUACCUCCGGGGUAAUUGAAAUGGAACACGCCUUGGUGUAUGCGGUUGCUACAAAAACAGCAUUUACUGUUUGCUGCAUUUUCGCUGGUGGCAGCAGUGCAUUUUAAGACCAAACGAGACACCUGGGUGAAAGAUCGGAGCCAGCACUGAUGGGAAAACAUAUUUGUUUCUGGCACGAUACACGACUCGUGAGUCACUUGUGAGUAACGUACUUCCGUUUGGGAGGGGUAUAUGUGACAUAUGUGGCUUGAACAACCACAUUCAUUUACACCUGUCCAGUUUCAUCUGAAACACGUCCCAGACCACCUCCUGAAGCGGUUUGAGCGAUCGGAUUUAUAUCCGUCUCGAAAAUGUUUCGGAGGGCAUUUAGACCUGGUCUUUUUACCAUCGGAUAGAUAUCGGAUCACAGAAAACACAUGAAGUGACCAGGUGUAAAAAGCCCCUGUGACUGAUGGGAUUUGAGUUCAUUUAGAUACAAGAGCAUUAGUGUGAUCAGGUGCUGAGGAGGUCUGGGGUGCAGUCGUACUUCCAGCUCAUAAGAAAGAGUCAGAGAUCAGUGCAGGACCCUUGAGUUCUUUGACUUCAGCUUUGGUAAACCUAUGUGUUGUCAUGCUGGAACAGUGAUUGUUCCUCUUAGUUCUAUAUACAAUUUACAUUUACAUUCACAUUUAUGGCAUUUGGCAGACGCCCUUACCCAGAGCGACUUACAUUACACUGAGUAACUGAGCAAUGGAGGGUUAAGGGCCUUGCUCAGGGGCCCAGACGUGGCAGCUUGGUAAACUUGGGAUUUGAACUCACAACCUUCCAAUUGGUAGUCCAACACCAUAACCACAAGGCUACCACGUCUCCUAAACCCCCAAAUUUAACGUUUCCAAAACAUUGUUUGGCAAGGACCUACAGUACACAAUGGUGUAAAGGUUGGGGCGCACAGACCUUUGGCCAUGUACGAUAUACUAAAGACACCCCAAUGACACUUAGACAUCAACCAAUGCAGAAGGUUGGAUUGCGUUUCUGUUGAUCUUGGUCCAAAUUUUUUACGAUCCGAUCUGAGGUGGUUUAAUAGAAGACGCGGGAACCUUCUGUGAAAUUGUUAAAAAGAAGUUGUGUACAUUAGAGACCACAGUACCUGCUUGUUGGCUCUAUGGUAAUAACUGGCAUGGGCUCCUCCUUUACCAGCGUUUAACGUAGCAACCCAAUUGGGACCUGGAAUAAAGUUAAACUAAUAACUGGAAGGAAAUUUGAUCGCACACUCUGAGAUACAUCAACUUUAGGCACAAAAAAGUCAGACAGAAGCCAGUAUUUAGGGUGGUUUGUGGGAGUGGUUUGUGUUUGUUUGUAUUUUUGUACACAAACAACACAAGUAACAAACACACCAGAACAGACACGACAUAACUGAUUGGUUCUUUAUUUUUAUCUGUUUUAGCUAGCUAGCUAGAGUUCAGGGCUAGUUUGGGCUUGUGCCUCAGAGGUACCUCGCUCACCUGAGUAUUGCCCAGCAAGGGUGAGGAUGCCGCCUUCUUCAGCGCGUCCUCGAUGGUAAACCAACUCUCCGCCAAGAACCAGCUGCGGAGAGACGCUCUGGAGGAAGUGCGCCACCAUGAUAACUGUCCCAUGAGAAACGAAUUGCAUUGAAUGUUGUUUUUUGUCCUGAAAUGUAUAAAGAGGAAAAAGAAAUGUGGAAGCAUCCUAACUAGUGAACAGAGAGACUCGUACCAGAUUCUCUAAGGAUGUCUGGGUUGGCCAUAGUGACAGCGGCUGUGAAGUCGCCGCCUCUGUACUCGGUCUCGAACUGCCACGUGACGAACUGUGACUGGACGGUCUGGAAAACACGACGUGUUUAAUCAAAUACCCUGGAUCACAUCGACCGCCCAAACCUGAAUGACCAGAUUUUGUUGUGCAUGAGUACACAACCUGAAAGACUGCUUUGGCUCGUAGUCGCUCGCUCAGGUGGAAUAAAGAGUGAGCGUUCAGGCUGCCAGACGAGUCCAUCUCUCCAAUGAGCAUGGGUGCUCCACAUGGAACCGGUAUGUCGACGGAACCACGGCACUGAUAUGAAACGUGUGGCUGACCUGUUUUUUUUGGGCUGCGAUGAAGGCCAUCAAAGCUGCCCGGGUUUGAAAGUCUUCCGUCUCUCUUGUCCCACCGAGACAGUGGUCUGUCCUGGGGGAAAGGAGAAUUCUGACGCCCAGAGCGAGAUGACAAGGCCAACACGCUGCCCAUGAGGAGACGAUCACUUCCAGCCCUGAUCUUCUGGCCAAAUGACUU